RNAcentral lists this ribosomal RNA (1572 nucleotides) under Mirounga leonina (Southern elephant seal). RNAcentral's name for it is "16S ribosomal RNA". It matches the Rfam family "Bacterial large subunit ribosomal RNA". Lineage: Eukaryota; Metazoa; Chordata; Mammalia; Carnivora; Phocidae. The record is from RNAcentral.
ACUAAAGCUAGCCCAAACAACAAACAACUAAACUACUAAAACAAAAAUCAAACAAAACAUUUAGUUACAUACUAAAGUAUAGGAGAUAGAAAUUUUAAUCGGAGCUAUAGAGACAGUACCGCAAGGGAAAGAUGAAAGAAAAUUUAAAGUAAAAAACAGCAAAGAUUACCCCUUCUACCUUUUGCAUAAUGAAUUAGCCAGAACAACUUAACAAAGAGAACUUAAGCUAAGCCCCCCGAAACCAGACGAGCUACCUAUGAACAAUCCUCCAGGAUGAACUCAUCUAUGUGGCAAAAUAGUGAGAAGAUUUAUAGGUAGAGGUGAAAAGCCUAACGAGCCUGGUGAUAGCUGGUUACCCAAAAUAGAAUUUCAGUUCAACUUUAAACUUACCUAAAACCCACAAAAUUUUAAUGUAAGUUUAAAAUAUAAUCUAAAAAGGUACAGCUUUUUAGAUCAAGGAUACAACCUUACUUAGAGAGUAAAUACUAAAUAAACCAUAGUAGGCCUAAAAGCAGCCACCAAUUAAGAAAGCGUUAAAGCUCAACAACUUAAUUAACAUAAUACCAAAAAUCUAAAACUAACUCCUAACAUAAUACUGGGUCAAUCUAUCCAAUUAUAGAAGAGACAAUGCUAAUAUGAGUAACAAGAAACUUUUUCUCCUUGCAUAAACUUAUAACCGAAACGAAUACCCACUGAUAGUUAACAACAAGAUAAAAUCAACUAAACAAUUAAUACACCUAUCAAACCAAUUGUUAAACCAACACAGGAAUGCAACCAAGGAAAGAUUAAAAGAAGUAAAAGGAACUCGGCAAACACAAACCCCGCCUGUUUACCAAAAACAUCACCUCCAGCAUUACCAGUAUUGGAGGCACUGCCUGCCCAGUGACAUAAGUUAAACGGCCGCGGUAUCCUGACCGUGCAAAGGUAGCAUAAUCAUUUGUUCUGUAAAUUAGGACUUGUAUGAAUGGCCACACGAGGGUUUAACUGUCUCUUACUUCCAAUCAGUGAAAUUGACCUUCCCGUGAAGAGGCGGGAAUAAAACAAUAAGACGAGAAGACCCUAUGGAGCUUUAAUUAACUAAUCCAAUAGAACAUAAUCAACUAACCAACAGGAAACUAAAACCAUUCUAUAAUGGAUUAACAAUUUAGGUUGGGGUGACCUCGGAGAAUAAAACAACCUCCGAGUGAUACAAACCUAGACUAACCAGUCAAAGUAUCACAUCAUUAAUUGAUCCAAAAAUUUUGAUCAACGGAACAAGUUACCCUAGGGAUAACAGCGCAAUCCUAUUCAAGAGUCCAUAUCGACAAUAGGGUUUACGACCUCGAUGUUGGAUCAGGACAUCCUAAUGGUGCAGCAGCUAUUAAGGGUUCGUUUGUUCAACGAUUAAAGUCCUACGUGAUCUGAGUUCAGACCGGAGUAAUCCAGGUCGGUUUCUAUCUAUUAACCAAUUCCUCCCAGUACGAAAGGAUAAGAGGAACAAGGUCCACCUUAACAAAGCACCUUAGGACCAACAGAUGAUAUAAUCUUAAUCUAAACAGUCCAACUCCCCUAUAAGUCCAAGAAACAGGACUU